UAUCCAGAGGAACGCCAGUAGCGAAGGCGGUUUCCUGGCUUGUUUCUGACACUGAGGCACUAAAGCUAGGGGAGCGAUCGGGAUUAGAGACCCCGGUAGUCCUAGCCCUAAACGAUGGGUACUAAGUGUGGGGGGAGCAUUACCCUCUGUGCUGAAGCUAACGCGUUAAGUACCCCGCCUGGGGAGUACGGUCGCAAGGCUGAAACUCAAAAGAAUUGACGGGGGGCUGAACAAGCAGUGGAGCACGUGGUUUAAUUCGACGCAAAGCGAAGAACCUUACCAGGGCUUGACAUGCUAGUAGUAGUGAUCCGAAAGGUGAGCCAUCUGAGCUUCGGCUUGGAAGCUAGCACAGGUGGUGCAUGGUUGUCGUCAGCUCGUGCCGUGAGGUGUCGGGUUAAGUCCUUUAACGAGCGCAACCCUUGUCCUUAGUUGCCAGCGGUUUGGCCGGGCACUCUAAGGAGACCGCCGCCUAAAAGCGGAGGAAGGUGGGGACGACGUCAAAUCAUCACGCCCCUUAUGUCCUGGGCUACACACGUGCUACAAUGGUUAUGAUAAAGGGAAGCAAAGGAGCGAUCCUGAGCCAAUCCCCAAAAGUAACCUCAGUUCGGAUUGCAGGCUGCAAUUCGCCUGCAUGAAGUUGGAAUUGCUAGUAAUCGUGGAUCAGCUACGCCACGGUGAAUACGUUCUCAGCCCUU
This 695-nucleotide ribosomal RNA is filed under the name uncultured microorganism. Its description in RNAcentral is "bacterial SSU rRNA". It matches the Rfam family "Bacterial small subunit ribosomal RNA", at positions 695 to 1382 of the family's 1533-position model. The record is from RNAcentral.